GAUGAACGCUGGCGGCGUGCCUAAUACAUGCAAGUCGAGCGAACGGACGAGAAGCUUGCUUCUCUGAUGUUAGCGGCGGACGGGUGAGUAACACGUGGAUAACCUACCUAUAAGACUGGGAUAACUUCGGGAAACCGGAGCUAAUACCGGAUAAUAUUUUGAACCGCAUGGUUCAAAAGUGAAAGGCGGUCUUGCUGUCACUUAUAGAUGGAUCCGCGCUGCAUUAGCUAGUUGGUAAGGUAACGGCUUACCAAGGCAACGAUGCAUAGCCGACCUGAGAGGGUGAUCGGCUACACUGGAACUGAGACACGGUCCAGACUCCUACGGGAGGCAGCAGUAGGGAAUCUUCCGCAAUGGGCGAAAGCCUGACGGAGCAACGCCGCGUGAGUGAUGAAGGUCUUCGGAUCGUAAAACUCUGUUAUUAGGGAAGAACAUAUGUGUAAGUAACUGUGCACAUCUUGACGGUACCUAAUCAGAAAGCCACGGCUAACUACGUG
This 497-nucleotide ribosomal RNA is filed under the name uncultured bacterium. RNAcentral's name for it is "partial 16S ribosomal RNA". It matches the Rfam family "Bacterial small subunit ribosomal RNA", at positions 28 to 507 of the family's 1533-position model. The record is from RNAcentral.